AGAGUUUGUAUCCUGGCUCAGGAUUAACGCUGGCGGCAUGCCUAAUACAUGCAAGUCAAACGGGAUUAUAGCUUGCUAUAAUCUAGUGGCGAACGGGUGAGUAACACGUGGGCAACCUGUCCUAAAGACGAGGAUAACAGUUGGAAACGACUGCUAAUACUGGAUAGUAUAUAUUUUCGCAUGAAGAUAUAUUUAAAGAUGCGUUUGCAUCACUUUAGGAGGGGCCCGCGGCGCAUUAGCUAGUUGGUGAGGUAACGGCUCACCAAGGCGACGAUGCGUAGCUGCGCUGAGAGGCGAAACAGCCACAUUGGGACUGAGACACGGCCCAAACUCCUACGGGAGGCAGCAGUAGGGAAUUUUCGGCAAUGGAGGAAACUCUGACCGAGCAAUGCCGCGUGAACGACGAAGGUCUUCGGAUUGUAAAGUUCUGUUGUUAAGGAAGAACUAUAUGAUUAGGAAAUGAGUCAUAUUCGACGGUACUUAACUAGAAAGCCCCGGCUAACUAUGUGCCAGCAGCCGCGGUAAUACAUAGGGGGCAAGCGUUAUCCGGAAUUAUUGGGCGUAAAGCGUGCGUAGGCGGUUUAUUAAGUCUGAUGUUAAAUCCCACAGCUUAACUGUGGUAUGUCAUUGGAAACUGGUAAACUUGAGUACAGUAGGGGUAAGUGGAAUUCCAAGUGGAGCGGUGGAAUGCGUAGAUAUUUGGAGGAACACCAGUGGCGAAGGCGGCUUACUGGGCUGGAACUGACGCUGAGGCACGAAAGCGUGGGGAGCAAACAGGAUUAGAUACCCCUGUAGUCCAUACUGUAAACGAUGCAGACUAAGUCUUGUGGCAUUCGACCGCCUCAGGACCUAAGCGAACGCGAUAAGUCUGCCGCCUGAGGACUACGGUCGCAAGACUAAAACUCAAAGGAAUUGACGGGGGCCCGCACAAGCGGUGGAGCAUGUGGCUUAACUCGAUGCAACGCGAAGAACCUUACCUAGACUUGACAUUGACUUGAAAUACUGAUGAAAGUUAGUAUGUCUUCGGACAAGUUAACAGGUGCUGCAUGGCUGUCGUCAGCUCGUGUCGUGAGAUGUUCGGUUAAGUCCGGCAACGAGCGCAACCCUCGCUUCUAGUUACCAUCAUUUAGUUGGGGACUCUAGAGGGACUACCCCUUUUGGGGAGGAAGGUGGGGAUGACGUCAAGUCAGUAUGGCCCUUACGUCUAGGGCUGCACACGUGCUACAAUGCAUUAUACAAAGGGAUGCAAUAUCGUGAGAUGGAGCCAGUCCUUAAAAUAGUGCCCAGUUCAGAUUGUAGUCUGCAAUUCGACUACAUGAAGUCGGAAUCGCUAGUAAUGGCGCAUCAGCUAUGGCGCCGUGAAUACGUUCCCGGGCCUUGCACACACCGCCCGUCA
This 1396-nucleotide ribosomal RNA is filed under the name uncultured bacterium. RNAcentral's name for it is "partial 16S ribosomal RNA". It matches the Rfam family "Bacterial small subunit ribosomal RNA". The record is from RNAcentral.